Molecule: transfer RNA, 169 nt
Filed under: Tritia reticulata (reticulate nassa)
Lineage: Eukaryota; Metazoa; Mollusca; Gastropoda; Neogastropoda; Nassariidae
Description: tRNA-Leu
Rfam family: tRNA (bases 31-99)
Source: RNAcentral
UACUGAUUAAAUUUAAUUAACAAUUAAGUAAUCAAAUUAGCAAAAUUAAUGCAAUUGACUUAGGAUCAAUAGAUAUAGGUGAAAUUCCUUUAUUUGAUAGAUAAAGGUGGCAGAUGAAGUGCAUUAGGUUUAAGCCCUAAAUAUAAAGAUGAAAUUUCUUUUCUUUAUA